Molecule: transfer RNA, 52 nt
Filed under: Leptotrombidium chiangraiense
Lineage: Eukaryota; Metazoa; Arthropoda; Arachnida; Trombidiformes; Trombiculidae
Description: Leptotrombidium chiangraiensis tRNA-Ser
Source: RNAcentral
GAAAAGAAGUUUGUUGGCUUCUAACCUUCAUUGUGCUGCUUAGCUCUUUUCU